RNAcentral lists this long non-coding RNA (4213 nucleotides) under Triticum aestivum (bread wheat). RNAcentral describes it as "long non-coding RNA (TAES_LNC004956)". The record is from RNAcentral. Lineage: Eukaryota; Viridiplantae; Streptophyta; Magnoliopsida; Poales; Poaceae.
UCAAAACCAAAACAUGCAUAUUGAAGUGAAAUGAAGUUUCUGCACAAUUCUAGCAUGCAGAUGAUGAUCCACGCCCAGCUCUUAUCAUAACUAGUGGCUGGGGCCCGCCCCAGGCGGGCCUCCUUUGCGUCACUGUGCGCACUAAUCUUGUUGCUGCAUUUGUCAACGUGCGUAUGCAGUGCAAAUGAGUACCAACUUUAAAAAAUAUAAUACACGAAAUAAAACUACAGAAACAUAGUAUUCACUAAUAGGUGACAACCUUAGAAGGUGGAGGAAUGAUCACAGAGCACGACAAUCGGUUGAAAUUAAAGUCUAACAUCCUCCAAAAGACGGGCGACCUCCCAAAGAGAGGCAGAGUCGAUACACGGAUCAUAUGUAUAGGCCAUAGCUGUAGUUGACGGUGGUGCACCUAGAGACGAUGCACAGUGAGAGACGUGACACCUUGCCUUGCGCUUGAAGUGGAAGGCACAUAUGACACCUUCCUGGAUGUUUGUGUGGUUGUGAAACCAUGACCAGUUCAUCAUGAUGCUGGCCCACUUGUCGGUUCCAAGCAUGAAGCCACUGGCAUAACCCUCGGUUCCAUCUCCAAGCUUGACUGGGAGGGUAUCAUGCAUCAUCUUGGUGGAUGUAUUUCUUCAAGUUGUCAUGUGUACUGCACAUGAAAGUACUGUAAGGUAGAGAGAAAAGGAUUGAGGGCAUGGCAGAAGACAAUAUCAUGUCAUGAUGAGUAACUACAAUGAAAGAGGCCUAACAAUGUAGUGAUCGAAGGAUUGUGUUUACAAAUUUCUGACUGAAAACUCUUGAGCAAAGUGUACAACGGGCUGCACUCACCACAAGACUAACCAUAACUUCAUGGUUACAAGGCAUGCUUAGCAAGUAGUAACUUAUCAAGUUAUUAGUAUUUUUCUUCUGUGGUACUUAGAGUCUAAAGCUUGAGCAAACACAUUUGAUCUACACAGGAAAAUGAUGGAAGCUUAGGCUGCAUUUGUUUAGAGCUUCAAGAAAUGCAAGAUUCUGUUGUUUUCUGCCAGGAGAAAAUUAGAUAAUAGAUAAAUCUUGGAGGUGUGCAGUUUAUUACCUCGACAACAUAGCACACAGAGGCACGACAUUUCAACACCUCAGGCAAUCAGCGUGAUUACCUAACAAGAUGAAAAGGCUCAGAAUGAAUUUCAGGACAACACUGGUCCUGACAAAUUAAGUAAAAUCUAUGCAUGGAGGGUGAAAGGAAAAUAUAAUCAGAGGGUGAAAAGAACAAUAUAAUCAGACAAUUGCUCGUAACUCAAAUAUAAGACCUAGAUGGAUAUAUUCUGUCCAGAAUACUGCUUGUUAAAGAAGAAUACGUACACAUGAAAUAAAAUCUAGUGUACGAGCAAGCACGGAAUCAAUCUAUAUGCAAUAUGAGUAACCUGAAAAAUAAGAUAGAUACAAACACUUGUUCUGACUAAUGUAACUGAAUAAGCUAUGCAACUAUAUGAGUAACCUGUAAAAUAGAAUAUGUCCUCAAAUAUUUCAGACCAACUUUCUUAUAUGUAUAGAAAGUUCAUAGGGAAACAUUUUAACCAAAUAUAUUUAGGGUCAGUAGGCAUCCAUACAUUAAUAGACAUAACGAACAAACAUUUAUGUAGGUGUGGUUAUAUCAACCUUCCACGUAAUUCAUGACAAAAGCAUAUAAUCUAUUUAUCUACAUUCGAUGACAGAAGUAAGAAACAAAUGGAAAGGAAAGACAAUCUGCAUGGUGUCUCCAUCAUGAAUCUCAUUGUCACCCGAAGAUUGCUCUUUCUUUAUUUUAGACCAGUUUAUAGUACAUCCACUCCCCACAGCAUACUUCGGGCCUGUUCUGAAUCUCUCCCACUCCAGAUUUCACAAACUGUCAGCUCGGAGCAGCCCCGAACGCUUUACCGCCAGGAAGCUAACUUCACGAAGCAAAGAUGGGCCUAGUGCAAUUUUAAGAAGCAAGGGAAACCGAGCUCUGCGUUUAGAGGAAUCUGGAGUUCGGCUUAUUUACGGCGAUACUGCCACCGCCUAAGAAAACGAUUCGAUAUGUUCUGUUUCUCGCUCGUACAGUAGGCGCACCAACCCCUCGCACCCCUCUCCCUCGUGUUCUCCCACGUGCUAAUGGGCUGCUUUCAGCUGGCCCAAAGUGGCAAGGAACAGGCCUGCAGCCCCCCAGCUGGGCUGCCAACUCAACAUGGCGCUGGGAGAAGCAACCGCUGCCGAACGCAUUCCAAUCGACAGGUGAAGUGAGAAGCCACGCCCAGAAGCUGGAUUUGAGAAGUUUGGAGAAUCUGGAGGAGAUCAGAACACGCCCUUCAUUUUCAAAUUGGAGAAAACAGUAUGGUGCUCUUGGGCUCUUAAAUCUUAAGAAAAUCUACCAAGAUAUUUACCCAUCCAAUAGAAUUUUUGACGGAAAAUAUGCAUUCUUAUGCAAAUUCAUUAUCAUGGCAUGGAUCACUUAAGCAAAAAGCAUAAAUGUGGCUAAAUUAUUUUCGACGCUGAAAGCAUAUGCAAACUGAAAUAGUUUGCAGCUUCUCGAUCAAUCAAUUCUUCUUUUGAAAUAAAAUGUGUGCCAUAUAUCUGAAGGGACAAAUACAUAGAUUUAGCUUGACAGUUAAAGCUAAGGCACCAUUUCUGGGUGUUGCAAUGAAAAGCUCGGUCAGAUACACCAGGUUGAGAAGUUAGACAAUGCAUACAAAGUAGGACGAUGAGCAUGUUGCCACUUACCCAAGACAUGAAUUUCUUGAGCAUGUCUUGCUUUUGCAUUUCAUCACUUGUUGGCAGACCCAUCUAGUUCUGACGUUGGUCAAGCUCUGACAAGAAAAAAAAGUGAGCUAGCUAUCGUUUAAGGGCUGAAGAAAUUGUAAGACGUGUAGUCCAACAACAAGGUUGUGAACAAAGCUUAUCAUCAUCAUCUUCUCCACAGUUUAUCUAGUCUCAGGAUCCAGAUCAGAAAGUUUGCUAAUGCAUCUUCUAAUUACCCGGUACCCUUUGUUCUGACAAACUGAAGACUGUCAAACAAUUCCAUCUCCAACACACCAAACCAAAUCAGAGAAUGGAUGGGCAACAGAGCCGAACCUCCAAACGCCCACUUUUGGAAGGUUUCGCUAGUGUCCAGGAACUUUGGGGUGCACGCAGGCAUGGUCCAAGUUCCCUGUCUCCACUCUCCAGCGCAUCUGAGACUGGGCCAAAAAAAAUGUCCAGCUCAUGCAAACAGAGUGUUGGAUGAUGGACCCCAACGGUAGCAUUAAGGACUUCGCCUGUCGAGUACAUUCCCAUCUAGUGUUCAACAAACCUACGGUGACGUGGAUAUCAAGUACUCCCUCCGUUCUAAAAUAGAUGACUCAACUUUGUAAUGAAGUUAGUACAAAGUUGAGUCGUCUAUUUUGGAACGGAGGGAGUAAAAGGGUAAAAUUAGGAUGUUGGAAAUCCACUAAGAUCCACGUCGUGGUGCAAAGGAAUUAUUGAAUGAUUAUACAUGCCUUUAUGAUCAAGAUCCCAACAGCAAAGUGUCCAUAAAUGACAAGACAUGGUGAUAAAAUAAUUCUGUCUUCUGUAAAUGCACCCUUCAAAAUUCAGAAUACAAGCGUGCAAAAACAGUUUGUUAGUUUGUGCAGAAGACAAACCUUCUCUCUUUCCUCAGGUGAUGGGUGUACAUUAUGAGUGCGUCGGCUUCUUGCACUAUAUCUGCUUCUACUACCUCUAUGGCAAAAUCAAGGUCAUAAACCUGAAAAGAGCAUGAGAAUAUCUUAGUAACUGGAGCACUGAAAAUACUCUGAGCUAAGAGAAUAAAUAUCUGAAAAAUGUAACAAACAGACACAUACAUGAUAUCCAUCAGACCAUGAAUUCAAGUGAGAGGAUAGCAAUUUCUAUGAGGCAAGGCAAUACAGUGUGGCAAAUAUUAAAUCAAUCCGGGUGGCGGUGAGAUGUGCUAGAAGACAGGGUUCAUUCAGGUUCAGCGGAGACAGAAGACAUACCUCAGGGAUUUGGACCUGCCAUGAGGAUGUUGGGACUGUGAGCAGAAGCAUAGAAGACGGUGCUCCAACUGCAGGAUAAGCGUUCCUUCCUCUUGUCUUAAUCCAUCCCCACUUUUCCAUCCCUCUCUCUCAAACAUAAAUGUCCUCCCCUGAGCAUUUAUACAAUUUAAUUUGAGCAUGAAAAACAAGGGGAUACCGGGUGCAGAACCUCUGUACUAUGUUGCGGCGCUGCGGAAAUCGAC